GACGAACGCUGGCGGCGUGCUUAAUACAUGCAAGUCGAACGGUGAAGCGCCGUCCUUUCUGGUGGGUGGGUAUGAGCGGCGAACGGGUUAGUAACACGAUAGUAACCUUCUCCCUUUUGCUGGAUAACCGGAUGACGGAGUUACUAACACGGGAUAUUUUGGGUCUGUCGCAUGAUGGGUCAGGGAAAGAUAUUGUUUCGGUGGGGGAUGGGCUCGCGCCGUAUUAGCUUGUUGGUGGGGUGAUGGCGUACCAAGGCGGCGAUGGGUAGCCGGCCUGAGAGGGUGGUGGGCCGCCACAGUGGUAAUGCGAGGCGGCGCAGACUCCUACAGGAGGCAGCAGUGGGGAAUACUGCACAAUGGAAGGCAGGAUGAUGCAGCGACGCCGCGUGGAGGAUGGAGGCCUUAGCGUUGUGAACUUCUUUCACGAGUGAAGAAGGCCUGAAUUGUUUGUGGGUGGGUUGACGGUAGCUGGACAGAAAGCGCCGGCUAACUACGUG
RNAcentral lists this ribosomal RNA (497 nucleotides) under uncultured bacterium. Its description in RNAcentral is "partial 16S ribosomal RNA". It matches the Rfam family "Bacterial small subunit ribosomal RNA", at positions 28 to 507 of the family's 1533-position model. The record is from RNAcentral.